UUAAGGGUUAUUGAGGUUUAAGUGGGUCAAGGUCUCAAAAAGUAGAAUUUUAGGUCUAGUGAGGGUUAUUAAGAUUUCUUGCAAUCUACUAGUUGGAUUGGAGUUAAAUUUAUGAGUGAGGAUAGUAGACUUGUUUGCCUAUAUACAUGAGAAUUUUAAGAUCAAUCAAACAAUGAAAAAGAAAAAUAUUGGCUCUAAAAGAUUGGCAUCAAGGUCAGAGAAGGAGGUUGACCAAUACUCAAGCACGUUUUUGAAGUUAUCAUGUAUUUGGUAAUUUCGAUCUUUUUAAAAAAAUUUGUGCUUAUUUUUAAUUUAAUUUUUAAAAAGUGUGUAAAUUUUGAAUUAAGAUCAAUGGUUUUUUCAUCAGUUAUUGAGGUUUAAAUCUGUUAUAAGAAUUAUUAGGGUUUGAUUUAGGAUUUACGGUUUGGUUAAGAUUUGAUUUGAGGUUAGGAUUUGAUUUAGGAUUAGGAUUUGAUUAGGAAUUGAUUUAGAGAUUAAUAUUAAAUUAGGAUUUUAUUUAGAGUUUAAGAUUUUAUUAGAAUUUAUUUAAGAUUUAAGAUUUAGUUAGUUUUUGGCUUAAAGUUUGAAUGAAGUCCAAUAGGAUUUUAACUAGGAUUAAAUUAAGAUUGAAUUGAGAUGUAUUUGAGAUAUAUUUGUCAUUAUUCUAAUAUUUUUUUAAGAUUUUUUAUUAUUUCUUUGUAAUUCCUUUGAGGUUUCUUUGAAUUUACUUAAAGCUUG
This 738-nucleotide long non-coding RNA is filed under the name Physcomitrium patens. Its description in RNAcentral is "long non-coding RNA (PPAT_LNC003053)". The record is from RNAcentral. Lineage: Eukaryota; Viridiplantae; Streptophyta; Bryopsida; Funariales; Funariaceae.